UUUACACUGGAAAUGACGACUUUCACUUUUGACAAAAAAAUAAACAUGAAAUGUCUGAAAGGAUAAAUGUGAUGUUUAUCGGCGAUACAGCAGUUGGAAAAACUUCACUAAUAGACUAUUUAAAUUCGGGCAAACAAGAUCCUUUGAUUUAUUCAACUACUGAUGUAUUGACCUAUACCAUAAAUUCGGGCAAUUCAUUGUUGAACAUACGUGUUUUUGAUACACCUGGACAGAAAAUAUUUGAGCCAAAAGUUAUUCCAUUUUAUCCUACAUGUACAGUUUUUGUUUUUGUUUAUGACAAAACUUACAGACCAAGCUUGGACAAAAUUGGCUAUUUGUAUAAUAUCAUCAAUGACCAUGUACAUUCUGAGGCGUGUGAAUUCUUCCUUGUUGGAAAUAAAAUUGAUGAAAGAGAGAAAGAAGUAGUGAGCAGACAGGAAGGUUUGAAUAAAAAGAAACAGUUAAAUAUGAAAUUUUUCAUUGAAACUUCAGCAGUAAGUGGAGAAAACAUAGAGACUUUAUUUAAAGUAAUAACUGAGACUGUGAGGAAAAAACAGGAGGAAAAGGGUGGCACAGUGUUUUUGCAAGAUCAUCAACCUGAAAAGUCAAUGUGUCCUUGUUAAUCUGUCUCAUAGAGCUUUCAUUUCAUUUAAAGAUGUGCAAUACAUGUAACUUAAAAUAAUAACAAUGUUGUGUUUUUUUAUUAUUUCCAACAACUUAUGUGCUACAUCAAAAAGGAAAAAGGAAGUCUUAAAACCUCAGUAAUUAUAAUUUUUUUUACCACUUUUUUUAAUAUGUUGUCUGAAUAGAUCUGGAUCAAAACUGGUCACAAUCAUAUUCUGUGUUUUACGAUGACUGCCAUUGUUUUUAAAUGUUUUAAUGUUGCAUAUUUAUAGUGUCAGUUUAGCCAUUCAUACUCAUUGGAGUCUUUAGUUUUGUCUCAAUCUCAUAAUUUGUAUUUAAAAAAGAUGAAAAUCUAAAACCUAUAAUUUGUUGUAUUAAAAUAUGUAAUAAAACUAAAAAUUCAUUUUAAUAUAUAUGAAACUUUGACCUUAAUGAGCAGUUGAGAUGUUAGGUUACAGAUGAGGGUCUGGGUGGGUUUUACAGAAUAAAGAAUAAUUGUUAAUGUCCAAAAAAAUAUUGAAUAGAGAAAAAUGAGCAAAAAUUCAAUAAUAGAGAAUAGUGGGGUGCAAAAGUAUAAAGAAAAACUGUAGAAAAUAAUAAAAUUAAGUAAUACAAUACUGAUAACAGAAAUGAACGCUAUACAGAAUAAAAAAAUCAUGUAAUUACAAAAACAAUUAAUAGCAAAAUUAUUUUGAUGAACAUUUUAAUUUUUAAGAUAAAAAAAAAUGCAUGACAAAAUUUAUAGAAUUCAGAUACAUGUAUUAAGGACCCCCAUCCAGACCCUUGAUAAAACAAAGGGCAUUGAAGACUUAAGAACAUACAAUGUAUUUUUUUCUGAAUGUAUUGGUUACAAUUACAGUCCUGUGGAUUUAUUUUAUUCGUUGGAUACCAAUUUUAUGGAUUCUGUGAGUACAUGUGAACCAAAAAUUUAAAUGUUGAACGAAUGACACAUUUUCUAUAUUGUCGUAUGCAGACUUUGGCAAAACCAUGACAUUAAAACCGCUGAAUUAAAUAUCCACAAAAAUGCAAUUUUUCCCAAACCAUGAAAAUAAAUGAAUCCCCAGUAAUGUACUUGUUAUUAGUAUGUUGUGUAUGUGGGCUUAUCUGCUUUAAAUAGAUUCCAUUUGCGACUGAAGAGGGUGAUAUAGGCAAAGGGAACUUAGGACAAUAACUAAUAUAUAUAUAUAUAUAUAAAUGUUUUAUUUAUAUUUACAGUUGCUCAAAGUAAUUUGUCGUCAAAAUGAUAAGUAAUUAAAACAGUAGGAAUGCUAGUAUGAAAUUUGUAUUUAAGCAUAAAAUCUUAGUAUCGACUGUUGGGUAAAAAGGGGCCACAUCUUAUAAUAUUUGUCGUUUAUACCUGAUUUAUUUCAAAUGGUUUUUUAAACUUUUUUUUUAUUUUGUAUUUAUUGAUGUGUUUACAAAUAUAUAUAUGGCUGUUUUAUAUAUAAAUUUUUAUAGUUGUCUUUUUUAAGGUGCAACCUUUGUCAGAUUUCUUUGGUGCUAAAAUUAAUGAUCUGAUAUUCAUUUGAAACAUUGGUUUGACAAUUGUUUUUAUAAAACAUAUUCAAUUGUGCCAACAUUUUUUUGAUAUUAUGAAAUGACAUUUGUUUUUAAUUAGAUAAUUUUUAUGAAAGAAUUUACCAUUUAACAGAGAACAGCUCUUUAUUUUAUAAUACAUGUAAUGUGUUUAACUUAAUAUAUAGGGAUUCCAAUAGAAGAUUGUAUCUUACUUUUUUGCCGAUACACAUGUGUUUGGUUUAAGUGUUGAGAGUUUCGAAUUUCCAUUUAAUGUUCCCAAUUCCUUCAGGAUAUAUAUGUAUCAUAUUCUAUCAGUCUCUUAAGUUUUUUAAAGAUAUAUCGAGGCACUGAUUGAUAGGAAAAAAAAUUAAAACUGGUGUUGGUUUUAGUUGUUUAAAGUAAUAUUCGUCGGACAUUAAGUAGCAUAAAUGAGAUCUAUAUUGGUAAAACUGUAUGGGUUUUCUCUACUAGGGUUGCUGUUGUCUGUGAAAAUAUACCAAAUUAAAAAAAAAUGAAACCCAAAUAAAAAACUAGAGACCUUUAUGAUAUAUUCAAAAUUUGUGUAAAGGAACAAAAUGGUAAAUUGUCCCCGGGGGAGUUACUUCUAAAUUGUCACUAUGUUUCUUUGAUGCAGAAUGGUAUUUAUUGUCUCACCUGCGACGAAAGUUGCAGUAUGCGAGAUAACAGUAUUACUAUCCGGGGGCGGCAACUUUUGUCGCAGAAAGCUCGACAUAGGGAUAGUGAUCAGGCGGCGGCAGCGUUAGCUAACUUCUUAAAAGCUUUAUAUUUUAGAAGGUGGAAAGUCUGGAUGCUUCAUACUUUGUAAAUGGAUGCCUCAUGUUACGAGGUUUCCGUCAGUCACAUGUCCAAUGUCCUUGACCUCAUUUUCAUGGUUCAGUGACUACUUGAAAAAAAAGUUAAGCUUUUUUGUAAUGUUAAAUUCUCUCUUAUUAUAAGUUAUAGGAUAACUAUAUGUGGUAUGUGCGUACCUUGCAAUGUCCUCAUGCCCGUCAGACAGUUUUCACUUGACCUCGACCUCAUUUUUUUGGAUCAGUGAAUAAGGUUAAGUUUUGGUGGUCAAGUCCAUAUCUCAGAUACUAUAAGCAAUAGGUCUAGUAUAUUCGGUGUAUGGAAGGACUGUAAGGUGUACAUGUCCAACUGGCAGGUGUCAACUGACCUUGACCUCAUUUUCAUGGUUCAGUGGUUAUAGUUAAGAUUUUGUGUUUUGGUCUGUUUUUCUUAUACUGUAUGCAAUAUGUCUUCUAUAUUUGGUGUAUGGAAUGAUUGUAAGGUGUACAUGUCUAGCUGGCAGGUGUCAUCUGACCUUGACCUCAUUUUCAUGGUUCAAUGGUCAAAGUUAAGUUUUUGAGUUUUGGUCUUUUUUUCUAAUACUAUAUGCAAUAGUUCAACUAUAUUUGGUGUAUGGAAAUAUUUUAUGAUCUAUUUGUCAGUCAUACAGGUUUUUUUUUUUACCUUGACCUUAUUUUCAAGGUUCAUUGCUCAGUGUUAAGUUUUUGUGUUUUGGUCUGUUUUUCUUAAACUAUAAGCAAUUGGUCAACUAUAUUUGUUGUAUGGAAGAAUUGUUAGCUGUAAAUGCCUGCCUAGCAUGGUUCAUCUGACCUUGACCUCAUUUUCAUGGUUCAUUGGUCAAUGUUUAGUUUACUUGUUUAAUGUUAAGUUUAUGUGACAGUUGUAAUAAAUCUUUAUAUUUAGGACUAUCAACAUAAUAUCAAUGAUUAGUAAAGAAGGCGAGACAUUUCAGCGUGUGCACUCUUGUAUUUCAGAAGGUAGAAGACCUGGAUGCUUCAUACCUUGUGUGCAGAUACCUUAUGUUACGAAGUUUCUGCCUGCCAUAUGCCCUUUGUCCUUGACCUCGUUUUCAUGGUUCAGUGACUGCUUGAAAAAAAAAUAUAUUUUUGUCAUGUGAAUUUCUCACUUAUUGUGAGUAAUAGGAUAACUAUAUUUGGUAUAUGGGUUCCUUGCAACGUCUACAUGUCCUUCAGACAGGGUUAACCUGACCUCGACCUCAAUUCAUGGAUCAUUGAUCAAGGUUAAAGUUAUGUGAUUAGGUCCGUUUCUCAGAUAUUACAAGCAGCAGGUCAACUGUAUGUGGUGUAUGGAAUGAUUGUAAGGGGUACAUGUCAGACUGGCAGGAUUCAUCUGACCUUGACCUCAUUUUCAUGGUUCAUUGGUCAUUGUUAAAUUUUUGUGUUUUGGUCUGUUUUUCAAGUACUGUAAGCAAUAGGUCAACUAUAUUUGGUGUAUGGAAUGAUUGUAAGGUGUACAUGUCUGUCUAGCUGGUGUCAUCUGACUUUGACCUCAUUUUAAUGGUUCAUUGGUCAAUGUUAAGUUUUUGUGUUUUGAUCUGUUUUUCAAAACUAAUAGCAAUAGGUCAACUAUAAUUGAUGUAUGGAAUGAUUGAAAGGUGUACAUAUCUGUCUAGCCAGAAUCAUCUGACCUUGACCUCAUUUCCAUGGUUCAUUGGUUAACAUUAAGUUUAUGAUUUUUGAUCUGUUUUUCAAUUACCAUAAGCAAUGGGUCAGCUUUAUUUGGUGUAUGGAAUAAUUGUUAGGUGUACAUGUCUGUGUGACAGUUUUUAUCUGACCUUGACCUCAUUGUCGAUCUUUAAAAAUGUUAAGUUUAUUUGAUAUUUGUAGUAAAACCUUUAUCUUUGAGACUUUCAACAUGAAAUCAAUGGUCAGUAAAACAGGAGAGCCAUUUCAGCGUGUGCACUCUUGUUAACACCUGUCCAGUUUUUUAUACCUUUUGCAACCUUUGAAAUUUUAGUUGGAAUAUCUACUUAAUAUUCUUUAUCUUAACACAUUUUUUGCAUAGUUUUCUAAAAUUCUAUCUUACCUUUUGUAUAUUAUAUGAAGAUGAUAUUAUAGAUUGUAUCAUUAUAACUAUAGUAUUAGUGUUUUGAAGCGUUCUUCUGGAAAAUAUUAUUCAAAUAUUGCAUAUUUAUCAUAGUUGUUAUUUAUAAUAAAAUACUAUUACAUUUUGUUGUCAUUUAAAA
Mytilus californianus (California mussel) is the source of this 5158-nucleotide long non-coding RNA. RefSeq lists it as uncharacterized. The record is from RefSeq and is a predicted model, not a curated record. The transcript has 2 exons. Lineage: Eukaryota; Metazoa; Mollusca; Bivalvia; Mytilida; Mytilidae.